CCUACGGGGGGCAGCAGUGGGGAAUAUUGCGCAAUGGGCGAAAGCCUGACGCAGCGACGCCGCGUGAGGGAUGAAGGUCUUCGGAUCGUAAACCUCUGUCAGCAGGGAAGAACGGUCACUGUGCUAAUCAGCAGUGAAUUGACGGUACCUGCAAAGGAAGCACCGGCUAACUCCGUGCCAGCAGCCGCGGUAAUACGGAGGGUGCGAGCGUUAAUCGGAAUUACUGGGCGUAAAGCGCGCGUAGGCGGCCUGUUAGGUCGGGGGUCAAAUACCGGGGCUCAACCCCGGUCCGCCCCCGAUACCGG
This 305-nucleotide ribosomal RNA is filed under the name uncultured bacterium. Its description in RNAcentral is "bacterial SSU rRNA". It matches the Rfam family "Bacterial small subunit ribosomal RNA", at positions 338 to 636 of the family's 1533-position model. The record is from RNAcentral.